RNAcentral lists this ribosomal RNA (496 nucleotides) under uncultured bacterium. RNAcentral describes it as "partial 16S ribosomal RNA". It matches the Rfam family "Bacterial small subunit ribosomal RNA", at positions 29 to 507 of the family's 1533-position model. The record is from RNAcentral.
AUGAACGCUGGCGGCGUGCCUAAUCCAUGCAAGUCGAGCGAACAGACGAGGAGCUUGCUCCUCUGACGUUAGCGGCGGACGGGUGAGUAACACGUGGAUAACCUACCUAUAAGACUGGGAUAACUUCGGGAAACCGGAGCUAAUACCGGAUAAUAUAUUGAACCGCAUGGUUCAAUAGUGAAAGACGGUUUUGCUGUCACUUAUAGAUGGAUCCGCGCCGCAUUAGCUAGUUGGUAAGGUAACGGCUUACCAAGGCAACGAUGCGUAGCCGACCUGAGAGGGUGAUCGGCCACACUGGAACUGAGACACGGUCCAGACUCCUACGGGAGGCAGCAGUAGGGAAUCUUCCGCAAUUGGCGAAAGCCUGACGGAGCAACGCCGCGUGAGUGAUGAAGGUCUUCGGAUCGUAAAACUCUGUUAUUAGGGAAGAACAAAUGUGUAAGUAACUAUGCACGUCUUGACGGUACCUAAUCAGAAAGCCACGGCUAACUACGUG